CGGGGAGGAGCCCAGAGCCUGAAUCAGCAUGUGUGUUAGUGGAAGCGUCUGGAAAGGCGCGCGAUACAGGGUGACAGCCCCGUACACAAAAGCGCAUAUGCUGUGAGCUCGAUGAGUAGGGCGGGACACGUGGUAUCCUGUCUGAAUAUGGGGGGACCAUCCUCCAAGGCUAAAUACUCCUGACUGACCGAUAGUGAACCAGUACCGUGAGGGAAAGGCGAAAAGAACCCCGGCGAGGGGAGUGAAAAAGAACCUGAAACCGUGUACGUACAAGCAGUGGGAGCCCCACCACUAAGCCAGUGGUGAACUCCACAUACGCAUCCUUUGCUGAGGAUACGGUUAACGGAGCGAAAGCGACGUUCAACCGCAAAAGAAGCAGAGGGGGCUUAGUGGUGGGGUGACUGCGUACCUUUUGUAUAAUGGGUCAGCGACUUAUAUUCUGUAGCAAGGUUAACCGAAUAGGGGAGCCGGAGGGAAACCGAGUCUUAACCGGGCGUUAAGUUGCAGGGUAUAGACCCGAAACCCGGUGAUCUAGCCAUGGGCAGGUUGAAGGUUGGGUAACACUAACUGGAGGACCGAACCGACUAAUGUUGAAAAAUUAGCGGAUGACCUGUGGCUGGGGGUGAAAGGCCAAUCAAACCGGGAGAUAGCUGGUUCUCCCCGAAAGCUAUUUAGGUAGCGCCUCGUGAAUUCAUCUCCGGGGGUAGAGCACUGUUUCGGCUAGGGGGCCAUCCCGGCUUACCAACCCGAUGCAAACUGCGAAUACCGGAGAAUGUUAUCACGGGAGACACACGGCGGGUGCUAACGUCCGUCGUGAAGAGGGAAACAACCCAGACCGCCAGCUAAGGUCCCAAAGUCAUGGUUAAGUGGGAAACGAUGUGGGAAGGCCCAGACAGCCAGGAUGUUGGCUUAGAAGCAGCCAUCAUUUAAAGAAAGCGUAAUAGCUCACUGGUCGAGUCGGCCUGCGCGGAAGAUGUAACGGGGCUAAACCAUGCACCGAAGCUGCGGCAGCGACGCUGAUGCGUUGUUGGGUAGGGGAGCGUUCUGUAAGCCUGUGAAGGUGGCCUGUGAGGGUUGCUGGAGGUAUCAGAAGUGCGAAUGCUGACAUAAGUAACGAUAAAGCGGGUGAAAAGCCCGCUCGCCGGAAGACCAAGGGUUCCUGUCCAACGUUAAUCGGGGCAGGGUGAGUCGACCCCUAAGGCGAGGCCGAAAGGCGUAGUCGAUGGGAAACGGGUUAAUAUUCCCGUACUUGGUGUUACUGCGAAGGGGGGACGGAGAAGGCUAUGUUGGCCGGGCGACGGUUGUCCCGGUUUAAGCGUGUAGGUGUGUGUUCCAGGUAAAUCCGGUUCACUUUAACACUGAGGCGUGAUGACGAGGCACUACGGUGCUGAAGCAACAAAUGCCCUGCUUCCAGGAAAAGCCUCUAAGCAUCAGGUAACAUCAAAUCGUACCCCAAACCGACACAGGUGGUCAGGUAGAGAAUACCAAGGCGCUUGAGAGAACUCGGGUGAAGGAACUAGGCAAAAUGGUGCCGUAACUUCGGGAGAAGGCACGCUGACACGUAGGUGAAGUGAUUUACUCAUGGAGCUGAAGUCAGUCGAAGAUACCAGCUGGCUGCAACUGUUUAUUAAAAACACAGCACUGUGCAAACACGAAAGUGGACGUAUACGGUGUGACGCCUGCCCGGUGCCGGAAGGUUAAUUGAUGGGGUCAGCGCAAGCGAAGCUCCUGAUCGAAGCCCCGGUAAACGGCGGCCGUAACUAUAACGGUCCUAAGGUAGCGAAAUUCCUUGUCGGGUAAGUUCCGACCUGCACGAAUGGCGUAAUGAUGGCCAGGCUGUCUCCACCCGAGACUCAGUGAAAUUGAACUCGCUGUGAAGAUGCAGUGUACCCGCGGCAAGACGGAAAGACCCCGUGAACCUUUACUAUAGCUUGACACUGAACAUUGAGCCUUGAUGUGUAGGAUAGGUGGGAGGCUUUGAAGUGUGGACGCCAGUCUGCAUGGAGCCGGCCUUGAAAUACCACCCUUUAAUGUUU
This 2036-nucleotide ribosomal RNA is filed under the name Salmonella enterica. Its description in RNAcentral is "partial 23S ribosomal RNA". It matches the Rfam family "Bacterial large subunit ribosomal RNA", at positions 293 to 2215 of the family's 2925-position model. The record is from RNAcentral. Lineage: Bacteria; Pseudomonadati; Pseudomonadota; Gammaproteobacteria; Enterobacterales; Enterobacteriaceae.